AUUGAACGCUGGCGGCAGGCCUAACACAUGCAAGUCGAGCGGAUGAAGGGAGCUUGCUCCUGGAUUCAGCGGCGGACGGGUGAGUAAUGCCUAGGAAUCUGCCUGGUAGUGGGGGAUAACGUCCGGAAACGGGCGCUAAUACCGCAUACGUCCUGAUGUAGAAAGUGGGGGAUCUUCGGACCUCACGCUAUCAGAUGAGCCUAGGUCGGAUUAGCUAGUUGGUGGGGUAAAGGCCUACCAAGGCGACGAUCCGUAACUGGUCUGAGAGGAUGAUCAGUCACACUGGAACUGAGACACGGUCCAGACUCCUACGGGAGGCAGCAGUGGGGAAUAUUGGACAAUGGGCGAAAGCCUGAUCCAGCCAUGCCGCGUGUGUGAAGAAGGUCUUCGGAUUGUAAAGCACUUUAAGUUGGGAGGAAGGGCAGUAAGUUAAUACCUUGCUGUUUUGACGUUACCAACAGAAUAAGCACCGGCUAACUUCGUG
Molecule: ribosomal RNA, 484 nt
Filed under: uncultured bacterium
Lineage: Bacteria
Description: partial 16S ribosomal RNA
Rfam family: Bacterial small subunit ribosomal RNA
Source: RNAcentral